UAUGUACUCCGUCCGUCUCAAAAUUAUUGUCUUGGAUUUGUCUAGAUAUGAAUGUAUCUAGUCACAUUUUAGUAUCUAGAUGCAUCUAUAUCUAGAAAAUCUAAGACAAGAAUUUGGGACGGAGGGAGUACAAU
RNAcentral lists this microRNA precursor (134 nucleotides) under Hordeum vulgare. RNAcentral's name for it is "microRNA MIR1122". It matches the Rfam family "MIR1120/MIR1122 microRNA precursor family". The record is from RNAcentral. Lineage: Eukaryota; Viridiplantae; Streptophyta; Magnoliopsida; Poales; Poaceae.